This 407-nucleotide ribosomal RNA is filed under the name uncultured fungus. RNAcentral describes it as "eukaryotic LSU rRNA". The record is from RNAcentral. Lineage: Eukaryota; Fungi.
AGAGUUAAAUAGUACGUGAAAUUGUUAAAAGGGAAACGAUUGAAACCAGUAUUUUUAAUUGAAUUCAAUCAAUUUUAAUGGAUCUUUUUUAUUUAAAGAGGGGUAACUCCCCUUUACUUAAUUAGUUGAAGUUAAGAUUGAUGUAUUUUUCAAUUAAAAAGUCAACAUCAGUUUUAUGUGCCAGAUAAAGGAUAAAGGAAGGUGACUUUCUUUUUAGAAAGUUUUAUAGACUUUAUUUUCAAUGGUGUGUGGAGACUGAGGACUGCAGCGUAGCGCAAGCAUUUCUCAAAAUUGACUAUCUUGAAGAAAUUGUUAAUGACAACAAGUUGGCAUUAACAAGUUGUUUUUGAUAAGUCUAUGGAGAGUUACAUACGCUUAGGAUGUUGACGAAAUGGUUUUAAAUGACC